Molecule: non-coding RNA, 358 nt
Organism: Microvirga vignae
Lineage: Bacteria; Pseudomonadati; Pseudomonadota; Alphaproteobacteria; Hyphomicrobiales; Methylobacteriaceae
Rfam family: Alphaproteobacteria transfer-messenger RNA
About the family: Bacterial tmRNA, also known as 10Sa RNA or SsrA, is named for its dual tRNA and mRNA-like properties. Its role is to liberate the mRNA from a stalled ribosome.
Source: Rfam
GCUCUUUCAAAUUCCAUCUCCGCCACCUAUAUUGGGGAUGCCGGUCGCAAGACCGGCUAUGGCGAUAAACGGCUAUCGGAAUAAACCCAUCGGACCCGGGGGCGGUACCCGGCGCCUCCACCAAAGCCUAAGCUCAGCUUGGGUUUCGGCGGGGGCGAAAUAGGAUCGACGAGGGCGUAAAGGAUAGACUUUCGCUCGGCAUGGUUCCGCCGACAUCGGGCCGAUUCAAUAGUUGCCAACGACAACUAUGCUCCGGUUGCAGUGGCUGCGUAACGCGGUCCCUAAUACCGACUCAAAGCCCUAGCGGUUAGCACCGUUAGGCGGGGUUCGGAGGCACCUGGCAACAGAAGCCUCCACU